CAGUCGCCACGGGAAUACGAAGGGGGCUAGCGUUGUUCGGAAUUACUGGGCGUAAAGCGCACGCAGGCGGCUCGAUAAAUUAGAAGUGAAAGCCUUGGGCUUAACCUGAGAAUUGCUUUUAAGACUGUCGAGCUAGAAUCCAGAAGAGGGUAGUGGAAUUCCGAGUGUAGAGGUGAAAUUCGUAGAUAUUCGGAAGAACGCCAGUGGCGAAGGCGACUACCUGGACUGGCAUUGACGCUCAUGUGCGAAAGCGUGGGGGGCAAACAGGAUUAGAUACCCCGGUAGUCCCUGUCUCUUAUAC
This 301-nucleotide ribosomal RNA is filed under the name uncultured bacterium. RNAcentral describes it as "partial 16S ribosomal RNA". It matches the Rfam family "Bacterial small subunit ribosomal RNA", at positions 509 to 807 of the family's 1533-position model. The record is from RNAcentral.